Molecule: non-coding RNA, 93 nt
Organism: Mycena polygramma
Lineage: Eukaryota; Fungi; Basidiomycota; Agaricomycetes; Agaricales; Mycenaceae
Source: the annotation of a GenBank genome assembly
GACUGCGUAGUGUAAUGGCAACACGCUCGAACAAAUUUCUUUUAAAGUAGUUGAUUUUCACGAGAGGUCUAGGUUCGAUUCCUAGCGCAGUCA